Molecule: ribosomal RNA, 484 nt
Filed under: uncultured bacterium
Lineage: Bacteria
Description: partial 16S ribosomal RNA
Rfam family: Bacterial small subunit ribosomal RNA
Source: RNAcentral
GUUGAACGCUGGCGGCAGGCCUAACACAUGCCAGUCGAGCGGAUGAAGGGAGCUUGCUCCUGGAUUCAGCGGCGGACGGGUGAGUAAUGCCUAGGAAUCUGCCUGGUAGUGGGGGAUAACGUCCGGAAACGGGCGCUAAUACCGCAUACGUCCUGUGGGAGAAAGUGGGGGAUCUUCGGACCUCACGCUAUCAGAUGAGCCUAGGUCGGAUUAGCUAGUUGGGGGGGUAAAGGCCUACCAAGGCGACGAUCCGUAACUGGUCUGAGAGGAUGAUCAGUCACACUGGAAAUGAGACACGGUCCAGACUCCUAAGGGAGGCAGCAGUGGGGAAUAUUGGACAAUGGGCGAAAGCCUGAUCCAGCCAUGCCGCGUGUGUGAAGAAGGUCUUCGGAUUGUAAAGCACUUUAAGUUGGGAGGAAGGGCAGUAAGUUAAUACCUUGCUGUUUUGACGUUACCAACAGAAUAAGCACCGGCUAACUUCGUG